GAUACAAGGAUAAAAAAGUCAUCGAUCCUUGUGCUCGCACAAAGGAGCGAAUGACUUUUUGAUCCGAACAAUAUGAGCAAGGAGCGAUUUACAAAGUAAAUCAGCGAAUUGCGAAUAAUUGUAGAAUUGCGAAAGCUGCUUUAAGCGGCGGAGCAAUUCGUAUC
This 164-nucleotide small RNA is filed under the name bovine gut metagenome. RNAcentral's name for it is "Clostridiales-1 RNA". It matches the Rfam family "Clostridiales-1 RNA". The record is from RNAcentral.